RNAcentral lists this ribosomal RNA (886 nucleotides) under uncultured beta proteobacterium. RNAcentral describes it as "bacterial SSU rRNA". It matches the Rfam family "Bacterial small subunit ribosomal RNA", at positions 8 to 896 of the family's 1533-position model. Lineage: Bacteria; Pseudomonadati; Pseudomonadota; Betaproteobacteria. The record is from RNAcentral.
AGAGUUUGAUCCUGGCUCAGAUUGAACGCUGGCGGCAUGCCUUACACAUGCAAGUCGAACGGUAACAGGUUAAGCUGACGAGUGGCGAACGGGUGAGUAAUAUAUCGGAACGUGCCCAGUCGUGGGGGAUAACGCAGCGAAAGCUGUGCUAAUACCGCAUACGAUCUAUGGAUGAAAGCGGGGACUUGCAAGAGCCUCGCGCGAUUGGAGUGGCCGAUAUCAGAUUAGCUAGUUGGUGGGGUAAAAGCUCACCAAGGCGACGAUCUGUAGCUGGUCUGAGAGGACAACCAGCCACACUGGAACUGAGACACGGUCCAGACUCCUACGGGAGGCAGCAGUGGGGAAUUUUGGACAAUGGGCGCAAGCCUGAUCCAGCAAUGCCGCGUGCAGGAUGAAGGCCUUCGGGUUGUAAACUGCUUUUGUACGGAGCGAAAAGGUUCUUUCUAAUACAAGGGAUUCAUGACGGUACCGUAAGAAUAAGCACCGGCUAACUACGUGCCAGCAGCCGCGGUAAUACGUAGGGUGCGAGCGUUAAUCGGAAUUACUGGGCGUAAAGCGUGCGCAGGCGGUUUUGUAAGACAAAUGUGAAAACCCCGGGCUCAACCUGGGAACUGCAUAUGUGACUGCAAGGCUAGAGUACGGUAGAGGGGGAUGGAAUUCCGCGUGUAGCAGUGAAAUGCGUAGAUAUGCGGAGGAACACCGAUGGCGAAGGCAAUCCCCUGGACCUGUACUGACGCUCAUGCACGAAAGCGUGGGGAGCAAACAGGAUUAGGUACCCUGGUAGUCCACGCCCUAAACGAUGUCAACUGGUUGUUGGGUCUUUACUGACUCAGUAACGAAGCUAACGCGUGAAGUUGACCGCCUGGGGAGUACGGCCGCAAGGUUG